RNAcentral lists this ribosomal RNA (501 nucleotides) under uncultured bacterium. RNAcentral describes it as "partial 16S ribosomal RNA". It matches the Rfam family "Bacterial small subunit ribosomal RNA", at positions 30 to 523 of the family's 1533-position model. The record is from RNAcentral.
AUUGAACGCUGGCGGCAUGCAUUACACAUGCAAGUCGAACGGCAGCACGGGAGCAAUCCUGGUGGCGAGUGGCGAACGGGUGAGUAAAGUAUCGGAACGUGCCCAGUCGUGGGGGAUAACGUAGCGAAAGUUACGCUAAUAACGCAUACGAUCUAUGGAUGAAAGCGGGGGAUCGCAAGACCUCGCGCGAUUGGAACGGCCGAUAUCAGUAUUAGGUAGUUGGUGGGGUAAAGGCUCACCAAGCCGACGAUCUGUAGCUGGUCUGAGAGGACGACCAGCCACACUGUGACUGAGACACGGCCCAGACUCCUACGAGAGGCAGCAGGGGGGAAUUUUGUACAAUGGGCGAAAGCCUGGUCCAGCCAGGCCGCGUGCAGGAAGAAGGCCUUCGGGUUGUAAACUGCUUUUGUACGGAGCGAAAAGUCUCUCUCUAAUACAGGGUGCUCAUGACGGUACCGUAAGAAUAAGCACCGGCUAACUACGUGCCAGCCGCCGCAGUAA